AGAUUUUAUUAGAGAUGAUUUUUGCUCAGUGUUUAUAAAUAGCCGCAGUAAUUUGACUGUGCAAAGGUAGCAUAAUCAUUUGCCUUAUAAUUGAGGGCUUGUAUGAAUGGGAUUACGAAAAUUUAGCUGUCUUUUAUUUAUUUAUAUAAUUUGUAUUUAGUGUGAAGAUACAUUAAUUUUUUAGUGGGACAAGAAGACCCUUUUGAGCUUUAUUCUUUAGUUUUUUUUUUGUUAGCAUAGAAUUUGGUUGGGGCGAUCUAGGAAGAAAAUGUGUGAUCUUCCUUUUGUUUUUAGAGAUCCAUUUUUAUUGGUUUAUAGAUUUAGUUACCAAAGGGAUAACAGCGUAAUUUUUUUUGAGAGUUCUUAUUAAAAAAAAAGAUUGCGACCUCGAUGUUGACUUAUAGUUCCCUUUUGGUGCAGUAGCUAAUAGGGUAGGUCUGUUCGACCUUUAAUGCUUU
RNAcentral lists this ribosomal RNA (458 nucleotides) under Vieitezia luzmurubeae. RNAcentral's name for it is "partial 16S ribosomal RNA". It matches the Rfam family "Bacterial large subunit ribosomal RNA", at positions 1838 to 2597 of the family's 2925-position model. Lineage: Eukaryota; Metazoa; Nemertea; Enopla; Monostilifera. The record is from RNAcentral.